Molecule: ribosomal RNA, 439 nt
Filed under: uncultured bacterium
Lineage: Bacteria
Description: partial 16S ribosomal RNA
Rfam family: Bacterial small subunit ribosomal RNA
Source: RNAcentral
CUACGGGUGGCAGCAGUGGGGAAUAUUGCACAAUGGAGGAAACUCUGAUGCAGCAACGCCGCGUGGAGGAUGACACUUUUCGGAGCGUAAACUCCUUUUAUAUAGAAAGAAGAUGACGGUACUAUAUGAAUAAGCGCCGGCUAACUCCGUGCCAGCAGCCGCGGUAAUACGGAGGGUGCAAGCGUUAAUCGGAAUCACUGGGCGUAAAGAGCGUGUAGGCGGAUUAAAAAGUCAGAAGUGAAAUCCUAUAGCUUAACUAUAGAACUGCUUCUGAAACUCUUAAUCUAGAAUAUGGGAGAGGUAGAUGGAAUUUCUGGUGUAGGGGUAAAAUCCGUAGAGAUCAGAAGGAAUACCGAUUGCGAAGGCGAUCUACUAGAACAUUAUUGACGCUGAGACGCGAAAGCGUGGGGAGCAAACAGGAUUAGAUACCCCCGUAGUC